AACGACAUUGUUGCAAAUGCAUGCCUGAAAUUAUCAUCCAACAUGAGAUUAAUUAAAAUCAUUUACCAUGUCUGGAAGAAACUUAAAAGAAAUGCAAAUAUAAAAAAUCUUCCAUCUAUAUUAGAACAAGAAUAAGUUCAUUAACUGAUGGGAGAGGAGAAAUCUCUAUGGAGCAACAAAAUGGAAAAUAGAGGUCAUUAAAAUAA
RNAcentral lists this unclassified non-coding RNA (206 nucleotides) under Hevea brasiliensis (rubber tree). The record is from RNAcentral. Lineage: Eukaryota; Viridiplantae; Streptophyta; Magnoliopsida; Malpighiales; Euphorbiaceae.